RNAcentral lists this ribosomal RNA (253 nucleotides) under uncultured bacterium. Its description in RNAcentral is "partial 16S ribosomal RNA". It matches the Rfam family "Bacterial small subunit ribosomal RNA", at positions 524 to 776 of the family's 1533-position model. The record is from RNAcentral.
UACGUAGGGUGCAAGCGUUAAUCGGAAUUACUGGGCGUAAAGCGUGCGCAGGCGGUUAUGUAAGACAGGUGUGAAAUCCCCGGGCUUAACCUGGGAACUGCAUUUGUGACUGCAUAGCUAGAGUACGGUAGAGGGGGAUGGAAUUCCGCGUGUAGCAGUGAAAUGCGUAGAUAUGCGGAGGAACACCGGUGGCGAAGGCGGCGUCCUGGACCAAUACUGACACUGAAACGCGAAAGCCAGGGGAGCAAACGGG